Molecule: RNA transcript, 2373 nt
Organism: Lepisosteus oculatus (spotted gar)
Lineage: Eukaryota; Metazoa; Chordata; Actinopteri; Semionotiformes; Lepisosteidae
Gene: tardbpa
Gene name: TAR DNA binding protein a
Source: RefSeq, a predicted model, not a curated record
UUGAAGUUUGGGAAGAAAGGAGCGAGAAAGCGAGACUGUUGUGCGUGUUUUUUUCCAUUCGGGAGGAAAAUAAGGAAAACGUAGACUUUCAGGCAGAACAUUCGUCGCGAUACCGCAUUGUACAAGGGCAUCCCGUCACAUCGGAUCGGCGUGGGCUGUAUUUGCUGUACGUUGCGUACCGAAGAGCGCGAAAAAUAAGUUGUCAUUCAUUUUGCAAGGAGUGUUGGUUUGGGCCCAAUACGGCCGUCGGCUCCAGGUGCUGUGUUUUGUUUUUGUUAAAGCAGAGUUAGAAUCGCUAAACUCUUUACAGCGGUGAUCUCGCUCCUUUUCAUCUAGGUCAGUAUAUUUUGGUUGUUUAUUGUUUUGUUUUUUUUAAAAAAAAUCCACGACUCCCUACAGUAAGGAGGGAUCUUUUAGCUAGGAAGCGGCGGAGGGGUCCCGAGUAUUUUGGCGUCCCGCGUAGAGAGAGAAGAGUUCGAGAGCGCACGAAGCGUGAAGAUGGCCGAGCUGUAUAUCCGGGUGGCCGAGGAUGAAAACGAGGAGCCCAUGGAGAUCCCCUCGGAGGACGACGGCACGGUGCUGCUCUCCACCGUGGCGGCGCAGUUUCCGGGAGCCUGCGGCCUGCGCUACCGGAGCCCCGUGUCGCAGUGCAUGCGUGGGGUCCGCCUGGUGGAGGGCAUCCUGCACUCCCCCGAGACCGGCUGGGGCAACUUGGUCUACGUGGUCAACUACCCUAAAGAUAACAAGAGGAAGAUGGACGAGAUUGAUGCCUCCUCCGCGGUGAAGAUCAAGAGGGGAGUGCAGAAGACGUCGGACCUGAUUGUCCUGGGCCUGCCUUGGAAGACGUCGGAGCAGGACCUCAAAGACUACUUCAGCACGUUCGGGGAAGUGUUGAUGGUGCAGGUUAAACGAGAUGUGAAAACGGGAAAUUCCAAGGGGUUUGGAUUUGUAAGAUUUACGGAUUACGAGACGCAGGUGAAGGUGAUGUCUCAGAGGCACAUGAUUGACGGGAGGUGGUGCGACUGCAAGCUGCCCAACUCGAAGCAAAGCCCGGACGAGCCCCUGCGCAGCAGGAAGGUGUUUGUGGGCCGCUGCACCGAGGACAUGACUGCGGAAGAGCUGCGCCAGUUCUUCAUGCAGUACGGAGAGGUCACGGAUGUUUUCAUCCCCAAACCUUUCCGGGCUUUUGCAUUCGUCACUUUUGCGGACGACCAGGUUGCUCAGUCACUUUGCGGAGAGGACCUGAUUAUUAAGGGAGUCAGCGUGCACAUCUCGAACGCCGAGCCUAAGCACAAUAAUAUUCAUCUCUUUUCCAAUUUCCCUGGAAGAAGCCCUUCACUGGCAGCAAUGUUCGAGCGAUCUCAGUAUCAGUUCCCUUCUUCCCAUGUGUAAAUGCUUUGUCAUCAAAGAGCGCAGCUUCACUCUGCAUAUACUGUGUUCGACGGGACCAUGGAUAAGGAGUUACCCCAUUCUUCACCGCUGAUGCAGGUCUACUCUUGGAUAAGGAAGAUGUCUUUUUUUUUCAGAAGGCUGAAGACCCAGGCUCAUUGGAGUUUUGUAUGGUCCCAAAACUUGAUAACAGUGGGACAGCAGCCAUUGCUUCAAACCUGAAAAACAGGGGCUGUCUUCACUUUACAAGAAAAUGGGAACCCAUCUUUCUUGAAUAAUUUCAAGGACUCUUUUUAAAAGAGAGAUGUGGUUAUGAAUAGCCAUGAACAUUUUUUUAAAAAUGUAGGUAAGUACUGCUGCAAGACCUUAAUGUGGGUAAGAAAGACAAAGUCCCUUCCCAUUGGUGUGCAAGAGUUCUGAUCCUCCUGCAUCUCCUCCCCACGUUUACAUGGAAAGCAACUGGUUUCUGAAAAAAGAGGUUUUUGUCCUGUUUUAUUUAAAUUUUCAACGGUUUGAACACCUCAGAAUGUGAAAAAUAACUAUCUGCUUUACGGGGGAUGCAAUUUGUGUUAAGUACUGUGAUCCUCGAUGAUAAAUGUAACAGUUUUGUUUCAUUGUAAUUAAACGCUAACCUUUUUUUUUAUAAAGUCUGACUUUUUCAUUUUGAAGCGGUGUGAUAGAGUUCUAAGUGUGUCCAGGUUAACCUUUUCCAGUGAUGGCCAAAAUGGUACUAAAAUUUGUGAAUUUGACAAUUUCCAGGAUUCAUACAUAUCCACAGGUAUUAAAUUGUUCGUGAAAUGAAGAGGGGUAUUUGUUCUGGGUGUAGUUUAAAGUAAGGCUUCAGAGGGUAGUGCCCUCUAUGAAGUGGUUGGUAUACAAACCUGUACUUUCUACAUAGAAUGUAAAGCCCUAAUGUAUUUGAAACACUGUCUAGUAUUUUUCUGAUCCUCACAAAUGUGAAAUAAAUUGUUACAUUUUCUACCA